This is a long non-coding RNA of Lontra canadensis (Northern American river otter), 786 nucleotides long. RefSeq lists it as uncharacterized. Lineage: Eukaryota; Metazoa; Chordata; Mammalia; Carnivora; Mustelidae. The transcript is spliced from 4 exons. The record is from RefSeq and is a predicted model, not a curated record.
GGUGCUGCAGCAUGGGCGGAGCGCAGGGACUGCUCCAGAGAAACCAGAAAACAUCUGAUGGACGAGUCCCUUCAAGUGCUCCUAGAUGCCUAAGUCCUUGGAAAGGGAAUGAACCAGGAAUGUAGGAGAGAAAUCACAUGGGGGGCCCAUGUGUGUAUGCAGAAGGGCUCAUGGUGGAAUCCUCAUCCCAGCCUUGUGCAGAGGGAAAAGCGCCAUGGCAGAGACAUGAGGACUCUAAAUCUUUCGCUAGCUGGGUCGCUCAGCUCUUCUAUUCACAUUCUAUUGGCCAAAGCCAAGCACACGGACAAGCCUGGGGUCAAUGAAGUGGGGAAGUACACUCCUCCCAUGGGAGAUACAGCAUAUGGCAAUGAUCAGGGAGCCAUAUUGCCCCAGUGGGGAAGGGAGGAAGUUGUUGGGCCAAAUCGUAUGCUCUACCACAACCACUAAACAGCUGUAAAACCUCGGUGGUUUACUCAACUUUUCCCUGCCUUGGUCACCUCAUCAGUAAAACAGGAAUUCUGCUCCUGAUGAUGUCAUUUCUGGUCAGUGCCCACGCUGUGCCCCGACUGCCUCAAGGCCGAAUCCUGGCCUGGUCUCCUCUCUGGGCUCCCUCCCUCCCCACUCUGUAGCCAGUUCUCUUUUGUCUGUGGCUAACAUCUUGGUGAGACCAAUCUUUUUAAAGUAAAAAGACAUAGGAUUGAGGACAUUUCUUCUUUUUUAUUUUUUAUUACUAUUUGUGGGUACUGUUCUAUUCUGAGACCACAAAACCUCCAAAUUCUGAACUUU